GGUGGCUCAGUGGUAGAGUGCUUGCUUUGUAUGCAAGAGGUCCUGGGUUCAAUUCCUCAGCACCA
Non-coding RNA from Dipodomys ordii (Ord's kangaroo rat), 65 nucleotides. The record is from Rfam. Lineage: Eukaryota; Metazoa; Chordata; Mammalia; Rodentia; Heteromyidae.